This 799-nucleotide ribosomal RNA is filed under the name uncultured Glomus. Its description in RNAcentral is "SSU rRNA". It matches the Rfam family "Eukaryotic small subunit ribosomal RNA", at positions 314 to 1114 of the family's 1831-position model. The record is from RNAcentral. Lineage: Eukaryota; Fungi; Glomeromycota; Glomeromycetes; Glomerales; Glomeraceae.
AUCAACUUUCGAUGGUAGGAUAGAGGCCUACCAUGGUGGUAACGGGUAACGGGGUGUUAGGGCACGACACCGGAGAGGGAGCCUGAGAAACGGCUACCACAUCCAAGGAUGGCAGCAGGCGCGCAAAUUACCCAAUCCCGACACGGGGAGGUAGUGACAAUAAAUAACAAUACGGGAUUCUUUAGGAUCUCGUAAUUGGAAUGAGUACAAUUUAAAUCUCUUAACGAGGAACAAUUGGAGGGCAAGUCUGGUGCCAGCAGCCGCGGUAAUUCCAGCUCCAAUAGCGUAUAUUAAAGUUGUUGCAGUUAAAAAGCUCGUAGUUGAAUUUCGGGGUUAGUAGGUUGGUCAUGCCUCUGGUAUGUACUGGUCUCACUGAUUCCUCCUUCCUGAUGAGCCGUAAUGCCAUUAAUUUGGUGUUGCGGGGAAUUUGGACUGUUACUUUGAAAAAAUUAGAGUGUUUAAAGCAAGCUAACGCUUGAAUACAUUAGCAUGGAAUAAUGAAAUAGGACGUUCGAUCCUAUUUUGUUGGUUUCUAGGAUUGACGUAAUGAUUAAUAGGGAUAGUUGGGGGCAUUAGUAUUCAAUUGUCAGAGGUGAAAUUCUUGGAUUUAUUGAAGACUAACUACUGCGAAAGCAUUUGCCAAGGAUGUUUUCAUUAAUCAAGAACGAAAGUUAGGGGAUCGAAGACGAUCAGAUACCGUCGUAGUCUUAACCAUAAACUAUGCCGACUAGGGAUCGGAUGAUGUUAAUUUUUUAAUGACUCAUUCGGCGCCUUACGGGAAACCAAAGUGUUUGGGUUC